GAUGAAGAACGCAGCGAAAUGCGAUAAGUAAUGUGAAUUGCAGAAUUCAAUGAAUCAUCGAAUCUUUGAACGCACAUUGCGCCCGCCAGCACUCUGGCGGGCAUGCCUGUUCGAGCGUCAUUUCAACCAUCAAGCCCCCAGGGGCUUGUGCUGGGGCCCUGCGGCUGCCCGCAGGCCCUGAAAACCAGUGGCGGGCUCGCUAGUCACACCGAGCGCAGUAGCACAUCUCGCUCAGGGCGUGCGGCGGGCUCCUGCCGUGAAACCCCCCACUGUAACCCCAAAGGUUGACCUCGGAUCAGGUAGGAAUACCCGCUGAACUUAAGCAUAUCAAUAAGCGGAGGA
This 342-nucleotide unclassified non-coding RNA is filed under the name soil metagenome. RNAcentral describes it as "partial contains 5.8S ribosomal RNA, internal transcribed spacer 2, and large subunit ribosomal RNA". The stretch from base 1 to 120 matches the Rfam family "5.8S ribosomal RNA", at positions 35 to 154 of the family's 154-position model. The record is from RNAcentral.